Molecule: regulatory RNA element, 66 nt
Organism: Aerococcus sanguinicola
Lineage: Bacteria; Bacillati; Bacillota; Bacilli; Lactobacillales; Aerococcaceae
Rfam family: L17 ribosomal protein downstream element
Source: Rfam
AGAGCGUUAUGAUGAUGGGGUAACCCAAGUCUAGCUCUUUCACUUCCGGGGCAGGUGCUCCGGAAG